GCGGGAGUAAUUCAGCGGUAGAAUGCCAGCUUCCCAAGCUGGACGUCGCGGGUUCGAUCCCCGUCUCCCGCU
Molecule: transfer RNA, 72 nt
Filed under: Bacteroidota bacterium
Lineage: Bacteria; Pseudomonadati; Bacteroidota
Also listed under: 8 other names
Description: tRNA-Gly
Rfam family: tRNA
About the family: Transfer RNA (tRNA) molecules are approximately 80 nucleotides in length. Their secondary structure includes four short double-helical elements and three loops (D, anti-codon, and T loops). Further hydrogen bonds mediate the characteristic L-shaped molecular structure. tRNAs have two regions of fundamental functional importance: the anti-codon, which is responsible for specific mRNA codon recognition, and the 3' end, to which the tRNAs corresponding amino acid is attached (by aminoacyl-tRNA synthetases). tRNAs cope with the degeneracy of the genetic code in two manners: having more than one tRNA (with a specific anti-codon) for a particular amino acid; and 'wobble' base-pairing, i.e. permitting non-standard base-pairing at the 3rd anti-codon position.
Source: RNAcentral